Molecule: ribosomal RNA, 480 nt
Filed under: uncultured bacterium
Lineage: Bacteria
Description: partial 16S ribosomal RNA
Rfam family: Bacterial small subunit ribosomal RNA
Source: RNAcentral
GACGAACGCUGGCGGCGUGCUUAACACAUGCAAGUCGAACGAUGAACCUCGAAAUGAUUUCUUCGGAAAGAUUUUUGAGAGGAUUAGUGGCGAACGGGUGAGUAACGCGUGAGCAACCUGCCUUAGACAAGGGGAUAGCCUCGGGAAACCGUGAUUAAUACCCUAUGAGACUCCACUUACGAGUGUAAGAGAAGUUAAAGCUAUUGCGGUCUAAGAUGGGCUCGCGUCUGAUUAGCUAGUUGGUGAGAUAAAAGCCCACCAAGGCGACGAUCAGUAACCGGCUGGAGAGAGUGAACGGUCACAUUGGAACUGAGACACGGUCCAAACUCCUACGGGAGGCAGCAGUGGGGAAUAUUGCACAAUGGGGGCAACCCUGAUGCAGCGACGCCGCGUGAGCGAUGAAGGAAUUCGUUUCGUAAAGCUCUGUCCUUGGAGAAGAUAAUGACGGUAACCAAGGAGGAAGCACCGGCUAAAUACGUG